CCUUUGAAAUUGCUAAUUUCUAGUCUUAAAACUAAAUAGCAAAGAGAGAUAACUGUUAUUGAAUAUGACAACUGAUACCUACAAAUAAAUGUCGAGGCAGAGAGGAGGGGUUCCUAAUUAAUUCCCCUGCUCCUCAUGCCCAAUACACCAGGGAUGGCACUGCUUUCCAGAGAUUCCAGAACUUGUCCUGAGAUUCCAGAACUUGUCCUGAAAGGAUUAGGGCCUCGACUCAUUACUUAGAUGUUGCUUGGGUUGGUAGCGUUACCUUGUCCUCAUACCAAGGCAAUUCGGGUCCUUCCCUGAUCCUAUUCUAUCUCUACCUUUCUUCUUCCUGUUCCCAGACAUGCUCCACUCUGAACACCUUUCUGGUUCCCUUCUCCCACAUUCUCACAAAAAGAAUUUGGGAAAACAGUUGACUAUCCCCACCCCCCACCUUUAAACCUGCUACUUGUUUUACCCUAUUUCUGUUUACAGAUUUCUUUCUGGCUCUGCCUUCGUUCUGUGAUAUCUACAAAGGAAGCCAACCCAGGGAAAAGUGCCCUUGGAAAGAAUACGGAUCAGUAGAUUUGAAGGAGUAGCCCUCCCCAUGCCCCAAUUAGAAAACUGAUCAGAACAAUUGCUUAAGAAGUCCACUUAUUAAAGGACUGAAAAAUAUGAAUCAUGAUCAGGGGAUUUAUCAGAAAUAUUAAAAGAAGACAUAUGGGACCGAUUUCCAAAAUAGGAAAGCAUUAUUUCCCUGGAAAUAAUCCAGGGAAAACAUACAACUGGGAAUUUCAACAUUAUGCAAGAAAAUGGAGCAAAUCUUACGAGAGAAAGGCUCGACUCACAAGGAGGAUACAUAAUGUACAGCCGAAUCUGCAAGCUCCUAUUUUGUCAGCUGCUUGUGUUGAUUAAAACUUCAAUAAAGAUCCUG
This 913-nucleotide long non-coding RNA is filed under the name Vulpes vulpes (red fox). Its description in RNAcentral is "lncRNA (ENSVVUG00000000042.1)". The record is from RNAcentral. Lineage: Eukaryota; Metazoa; Chordata; Mammalia; Carnivora; Canidae.